Molecule: ribosomal RNA, 514 nt
Filed under: uncultured bacterium
Lineage: Bacteria
Description: partial 16S ribosomal RNA
Rfam family: Bacterial small subunit ribosomal RNA
Source: RNAcentral
GAUGAACGCUGGCGGCGUGCCUAAUACAUGCAAGUCGAGCGAACUGAUUAGAAGCUUGCUUCUAUGACGUUAGCGGCGGAUGGGUGAAUAACACGUGGGCAACCUGCCUGUAAGACUGGGAUAACUUCGGGAAACCGAAGCUAAUACCGGAUAGGAUCUUCUCCUUCAUGGGAGAUGAUUGAAAGAUGGUUUCGGCUAUCACUUACAGAUGGGCCCGCGGUGCAUUAGCUAGUUGGUGAGGUAACGGCUCACAAAGGCAACGAUGCAUAGCCGACCUGAGAGGGUGAUCGGCCACACUGGGACUGAGACACGGCCCAGACUCCUACGGGAGGCAGCAGUAGGGAAUCUUCCGCAAUGGACGAAAGUCUGACGGAGCAACGCCGCGUGAGUGAUGAAGGCUUUCGGGUCGUAAAACUCUGUUGUUAGGGAAGAAUAAGUACAAGAGUAACUGCUUGUACCUUGACGGUACCUAACCAGAAAGCCACGGCUAACUACGUGCCAGCCGCCGCAGUAA